Molecule: long non-coding RNA, 181 nt
Organism: Egretta garzetta (little egret)
Lineage: Eukaryota; Metazoa; Chordata; Aves; Pelecaniformes; Ardeidae
Exons: 3
Source: RefSeq, a predicted model, not a curated record
UCCACUACAAAUGUCACGGUAAAAAUCACAAAGAUGCCGCCUCGGUCAGGGCCACGCACCCUAUUCCUGCAGCCUGUGGCAUUUAUUACUUUGAAGUGAAGAUCGUCAGUAAAGGUAGAGAUGGGUACAUGGGGAUAGGACUCUCUGCGCAAGGGGUCAACAUGAACAGGCUUCCUGGUAA